UCUGCCUUUUCUUUUUCCUAAUUUCUAACCUUAAGACAGCCGUAUCUUAUCUCCCACCGCUCUUACUCAAACUUCCUGUGCCUUCCUUCUUUCCCCUUUCCUCUCCCUUGCCCUAUCUGUAUCCCUCCAUUACUCCCUUUCCUCCUUCCCUUACUGUAUCAUCAGAAGAUUUUAGAAACCUUUCUCUUCAGCAUCAUUCCCAUUUGCAGAUGCCAUUUCGGCUUUCCUCUCAUCAAGAAUUCGUUGCAUAACUCUGAAUUGUUUUUCCUUCUCUGCUCGUUUUCCAGCAGUUUCUCCUCAGAAUUUCUCAUUCCUCUUUUCCUUGUAGUGGUCGUCUGUCCACUUGGCAAGUUCUGGCUUUUUUCUAUUGGCAGAGAUGACCAGUGGGAUGCUGCUUGUGGAUUUCUCAGUAUCUGAUCUCAUCAAUUUUUUGGGUUUUCUUUUAUAGUGGUGCUGCAAUUGGACAUUUCUUUGGUUCUUUUCCCUGACACGUUUGUCUCAUCAAUUUAUUGGAAAUGGUUCAGAAUUCCAUGUUCAAGAUGGAAAAAAACUACUUGAUUACGUGGCUGAACAUAUUCAAUGGGCGAGUUUGUGAAUUCUCAUUAUUUAGAAUUGACCAUUCUUAAUGAUUGUUUCUCAACCAUAUACUUUUUAUUUGCUUUAAUCUGAAUCAGAUAGAGUUGUCAUGGUCUUAGUUUUAUCUGUCAUUUGGUAUGGUUAGUGGAGAUGGUUUGUUUGACCUUCAAGAGUGUUUAAAGAAGUCCUAUGUUUUUUAUAAAGUCGCUAUGUAUUUCCACUAUAAUUUGUAAAUUAGUUGUUAAAUAUAUGGUCAGUGUUUUAUAUCUUGUUGUAGCGAUUGGUUGGUUUUUUUAUGAAUGUCUCAUGGAGUUUGUGCCAUGACCAAACAUAUGUAGUUGACCACCUUGCUUAUGAAAGAGAGUGGUGUUUGCUACAUAUAAAGUAAAAGAACCUUUUGAGCAUCCAAAGAGGUUUUGAUUUUUUAAUGAUAGAACAAGGAUUUGCUUAAUAUGAAUUAACAAUUCUAUGCUGUACCAGAGCUUGAACAACAUCUUCCUUAAAUUGAUGACUUGAAAUUCUGUCUAGGGAUUUUAUUAGCUAGAGACUAUGCAAGAGCUCUUGCAUGAAAUUUCAUUUGUGUUAAGAUUGGUAAAAUCACGUAGGACACUACAAAUUUGACUACAUUUAUGGCACAUAUCUUAUCCAAUUACUGUUUCAAUAUUUGUAGAAAUUUUACACUGUCUUUAAAUUGUUUUUCAGUAGUCUAUGAUGCAAGAGGAGGAUUCCUAAAACUGAUGUAAAUUACAGCUCCAGUAGCUAUUAGCUGUUGAGGAGUUAGGUCUAUCUUUGCAAAUGCUAAUAUCAUCAAAGAAUGGAAGCAAGAGGUAGAGCAAUACCAAAGAAAAAUUCAGUUGGUGUGGACAGUAAUACUAUGAAGCGUGAGAAACUUGAUGCAGUUAACUACCUGUGCUGAAUAUCGCUGGAGGUUAUUUGUAGUCAUGAAAUCCCCAUCAGUAGCUUCAAAAUGUUAGUGUAAUACAGAUCUCAUCAUUGGGAGUUAUUGAGAAUUGUAACGAUACAAGUACUGGCAGUUCGAAUAUUAUUACAUUAGAUUGGCAUAGUUGGGUGCCUUAUUUGCUUUACUGUUUGCACUUGAGAAAUUAGAAAGUUUUUGGUAUUUUGCUUUAAUGUUAAGUAUGAUACAUCUCGAGUUGUUGGUUA
Coffea arabica (coffee) is the source of this 1740-nucleotide non-coding RNA. NCBI's taxonomy places the organism in Eukaryota, Viridiplantae, Streptophyta, Magnoliopsida, Gentianales, Rubiaceae. The record is from RefSeq and is a predicted model, not a curated record.